GCAGUCGACGCUGAAGCCUGGUGCUUGCACCGGGUGGAUGAGUGGCGAACGGGUGAGUAACACGUGAGUAACCUGCCCCUGACUUCGGGAUAAGCCCGGGAAACUGGGUCUAAUACCGGAUACGACUGCCGGACGCAUGUCUGGUGGUGGAAAGUUUUUUCGGUUGGGGAUGGGCUCGCGGCCUAUCAGUUUGUUGGUGAGGUAAUGGCUCACCAAGACGACGACGGGUAGCCGGCCUGAGAGGGCGACCGGCCACACUGGGACUGAGACACGGCCCAGACUCCUACGGGAGGCAGCAGUGGGGAAUAUUGCACAAUGGGGGAAACCCUGAUGCAGCGACGCAGCGUGCGGGAUGACGGCCUUCGGGUUGUAAACCGCUUUCAGCAGGGAAGAAGCGCAAGUGACGGUACCUGCAGAAGAAGUACCGGCUAACUACGUGCCAGCAGCCGCGGUAAUACGUAGGGUACGAGCGUUGUCCGGAAUUAUUGGGCGUAAAGAGCUCGUAGGUGGUUGGUCACGUCUGCUGUGGAAACGCAACGCUUAACGUUGCGCGUGCAGUGGGUACGGGCUGACUAGAGUGCAGUAGGGGAGUCUGGAAUUCCUGGUGUAGCGGUGAAAUGCGCAGAUAUCAGGAGGAACACCGGUGGCGAAGGCGGGACUCUGGGCUGUAACUGACACUGAGGAGCGAAAGCAUGGGGAGCGAACAGGAUUAGAUACCCUGGUAGUCCAUGCCGUAAACGUUGGGCACUAGGUGUGGGGGGGCAUUCCACGUUCUCCGCGCCGUAGCUAACGCAUUAAGUGCCCCGCCUGGGGGAGUACGGUCGCAAGGCUAAAACUCAAAGGAAUUGACGGGGGCCCGCACAAGCGGCGGAGCAUGCGGAUUAAUUCGAUGCAACGCGAAGAACCUUACCAAGGCUUGACAUACACCGGACCGUCCUGGAAACAGGUCCUCUUCUUUGAAGCUGGUGUACAGGUGGUGGCAUGGUUGUCGUCAGCUCGUGUCCUGAGAAGUUUGGGGUUAAGUCCCGCAACG
RNAcentral lists this ribosomal RNA (1033 nucleotides) under uncultured bacterium. RNAcentral describes it as "bacterial SSU rRNA". It matches the Rfam family "Bacterial small subunit ribosomal RNA", at positions 57 to 1094 of the family's 1533-position model. The record is from RNAcentral.